GAUGAGAACGUAGCGAAAUGCGAUAAGUAAUGCGAAUUGCAGAAUUCAGUGAAUCAUCGAAUCUUUGAACGCACAUUGCGCCCGCUAGUAUUCUGGCGGGCAUGCCUGUCUGAGCGUCAUUUCAACCCUCGCCCCCGGCUUUUGCUGGGAGCGGUGUUGGGGAUCGGCCGCCCGUCACUGGGAGGCCGGCCCCGAAAUAGAGUGGCGACCACGCCGUGUGCUCCUCUGCGUAGUAGUAAAUCACCUCGCAGGCGGACAGCGGUGCGGCCUGCCGUAAAACCCCCAACUCUUUCUGGUUGACCUCAGAUCAGGUAGGAAUACCCGCUGAACUUAAGCAUAUCAAUAAGCGGAGGA
Molecule: unclassified non-coding RNA, 354 nt
Filed under: soil metagenome
Description: partial contains 5.8S ribosomal RNA, internal transcribed spacer 2, and large subunit ribosomal RNA
Rfam family: 5.8S ribosomal RNA (bases 5-119)
Source: RNAcentral